UAGCAGAACCUCCAUACAUCUCUCUCUGAUAUCGUGGCACAGUUUGAGCUUAACCACUUGAUGGAAACAACAUGAAGGGGAGGGGAUGAAGGAGCAUACCUUCUUCUUCUUUUGCUUGUUUCUGAGUAGCUAAUUUGACCAUGUGUUCCACCCCGUCCACCACAUCGUCCAUCUCGUAGCAAGCGUUGGUGAGCUUUUCUGAUCAAAGCCUCACAGCUUCUUCCUUAAACUGCCUUCGCUCAGCAUCAUUUAGCACCGCCUUCAAUUGUAGAGUUAGGAGAUCGGUGGCUCUAAAAUUCUCUGUGAACGUUGCCAAAGAGAGAUUGGUGAGGAUUGGUGCAAGAUUUCUCACAUCCCAUCAAUUCUGAUUAAGAAAGAACAAUUCUUUAAAGUUCAAGUACAGGUGCUAUGAUACAGAGUGGCCAAUAUUCAGCCUUGCAGAAAUCUGUUCUAGUUCGGGAAAGCAAAGCAAAGACAUAUAAUUAUCUUUGGAUCAAUGAUGCGUGGUGAAUGUUGCUGCUCUCUUCUAAGAACUAUUGUCAUACAUCUCCUACAAUGUUGUACCUUUGCCAUGUUUAUCAUGGAUUAGUCUGUCUUCAUUUACAUUCCAGCUUCUCCUUUGAUUAUGUUAUAAUCUUAUUAAGACACUGCUUUCUUUCACGAUUGUGGUCAGCAUUUUGCCAUUUCUUUCUUUAUUUAUUUUCAGAUUUCAAAUAGAUGAAAUGACGCAGAAUCAUACUUGGCAUUUCAUAGAAUACUUGGCAUUUAAUAGAAUUCUAGUGAAGCAGCUAGUGUAGAAUAUAAGGAAAUGUCUUCUUCUUUUUCAUCUUAUUUAUUCAUUUAUCAAUCACUUACCAUUGCACAAGUUAGCAAAUUGUGAAAUUUGAAGUGAAAAUAGAUGUGUCAGCUGUGCACAUGUGCACAGCUGCACACACUACACAAGGGUAUUUUUUAAAUUGAUUUCUGCCCGAUAAUAAUCUGUCUUAGAAGAUUAUAAAAGACAAGUUUUAUAAGCACCACCAAAAAAAAAAUCUGAAUGACUUUGCUUGAGAGACAGAAUUUUCUGCCAAGUGAGCUUGCCGGUUUGGUUUAAGAGAAAAGCUACAAUUCAUUUCAGGCGGAUGCUUCCUCCAAUAGAUUGGUUAAUAUCGAAUACAUAUGGCUUUAUUUCCACUGAAAAAGGGGAGGUUUAGGUGGAGCUUUGAGUAUGUCUUGAUGGCUGGCAGGUCCAUGUGGAGUUAGAAUUGUGUUACAGCAUGACUUAGAAGCGAUUAAUAACACUGGUAGGGCUGUUUGGUACUCUUGUUUAAACAACGGUUUUCAGUUUAAACAACAAUAACGCUUUUGACAUGUAUUUCUAUAACACUCAAACACGUAUUUCCACAACACUGAAAACUGAACAACAAUACUUAAAUAUUGCUACCAAACGGGCCAAAAGGUCAAAACACUGUACGUGCAGUGUCCUACUAUAAAAAAAAAAUUUUGGAAGCUCAUGGGGCAAUUGACUCUCUGGCCCCUGGCUCGCCCAGUAUUGGCUACAAUCAAGUUGUCUCUCUCAGUUCAAAUACCUGCAUUAAGCCAAGAACCAUGCUGGCCAAUGCAAGAAAGCUAAAUGUCUGUGGCUGUCUCUCUCUCUCCCCAGAACUGUGUAGACUCACAUGAGGUAAUUCAGAAUGAAGCCAAAUUACAAGAAAUAGUUGUUCCAGAAAGCUAAACAUCUGUGGCUGUCUCUCUCUCUCCCCAGAACCAUGUAGAUUCACAUGAGACUCAGUUGUGGUGAAUGUAACUUCUAUUGGUGGGGAGAGAGGGAGAGGUGGGACUUCAAUUGAUCAAGGAAAUGGGCAUUUAAGCUCUAAAGUUUAGGAGAAGAUGAGAGGAUGAAGCUUUGGAAACUUUGAAGCCUUUGUGGAAUGAUGGAUAUUGGACUGAGACUGUCAGAGAUCUCUUCUUUAUGGCCAAAGACAUUGUUAAGCAUGAUGGCGGGCUGCCACGGUGGUUUUGCCCUGUUUCUUGCGGACGCCCUUUGAAGGAUUCUCCAAUUCCCAAUUCUUCUCCUUUUGCCAGGGAUGGAUGUUACUGGUUUGGGACUUGUUGUGCGCCAUAAAGCUCUUGGGAAGUAAGUCAUAUUACCCUUAUGUCUAUGAUGAAUGUGAAUGCUUCUAUGUUUACAUGGAUUAACACCUUUUAAGUUAAACAUCUCAAUGGUAAUCACUUUAAAUUAAAUUCAUUAUUAUUUAUCAAAAAAGAAAAAAUAAGAAAUAAAAGAAAGCAUCUCAAAGGUGAGAAUAGAAGUUAGUUUAAACAUUUUCAGCCAGGAAUAUAAAAUAGAUGCCCUUACCAUUUCAAACCUGGAAAAUUUAUAGGUUUUUAAUGAGAUGACUCUUUUCUAUUUGGGAAAAAACUAAAUUGAUUUUCUUGCUUAUUAGAUCUUUUCCGACAAUGAGUUCCACUUCCAGAAGGCUUGGCUUUUAAGUCAGCCUAAGAAUAACAAGAACCAAUUCACUCUGUGUAAGAUUUGAACCAACAGCAUCAGUUUUUGAGACCCAUGCUCUACUAAACUGAACUAAGAGUGCUUUAUUACCAGUAAAUAGUUUGUAACCGUGUUGUCUCCUUCCAAUUCCUGGACAAAACUAAAGUGAUGUUCUCCGUGUGUGAUUCUCAUGGAAUGUGUCUUGAUCACAAUGGUGUCUUAAUUUUAAAGCUACCCUUUCCUAUUAUCUUUCCAUAGUAAUGAAAGAAAGUUUCACCUCUUUUUUCUUUGAGAUAAUUAAUUCCUUGGAGAUUCAUAUUAAAAAUUGUAUGCAGCGAAAAUAGGUGUGUUCACAUUCUGGCAUGGUAGACAACUUUACUCUGCCUCUAUGCUGCAUUAUGUAACUUCUCUUAAGAAUAUUUUUGUUCCCAUUUCAUGCCAAUUACAUUCCUCCUGCUUGUAUGCCAUGAAAAGAAAUAGAAGUUGAAUUAGUAGAGUACCUGUCAAACUUAUGUAAGCAUUAUCUCAUUUAAGGAAAUAUCAUGAUACUUGAAUGGAUUCUGCAUAAUUACAGCCACUCACAAGUAAAAUUACUCUCGAUGACUUCUACCUUAAAAUGGCUUUCAUGGCUCGAAUUUUGUUGUGUUGAUACUACAUAAUGAGUGUAGUUAUAUGUAUCUGUACCGUUCUGCUCUGGCUGCGUGCCUCUUAUUUGUAAAUAUAUCAAAAAUGUUUUGGCAAGGUGGUACUUGUGUGGAUUACUGAGGAAAAAAAGUCACAAAUUUAACAGAGAGAAAGUUGUGCAAUUUUUUAUUGCAGUUCAAAGUGUUUUCUCUACUGCUUUCCUUUUUUGGUUGCUUUUGCAUUCUACAUCUGCAGGUGUGCAUUAUUUUCAGUGACUUUUGUGGAAACUUAUCUUUGUUGCACACAGUGUAUGU
Long non-coding RNA from Quercus robur (English oak), 3408 nucleotides. RefSeq lists it as uncharacterized. The transcript has 5 exons. NCBI's taxonomy places the organism in Eukaryota, Viridiplantae, Streptophyta, Magnoliopsida, Fagales, Fagaceae. The record is from RefSeq and is a predicted model, not a curated record.